GGCAUUCGCUGCCGCGACUCGCCCUUUUCCCGGCCGGGACUGCAGCCCCUUUCAGAAGCUCCUCCAUCAGCAGCUGCCGGGACCCGACUCUCGUCUUCCUCCUCGCCCGCUCUCCAGCCUUUCCUCUCUCCUAAGUGUCCAUCGGGCACCGACCUCGCCCUGCCCCACCGGACACCGCGGCAGCAGCCCCAGCAGUGACGGGACAAAAUGGGAGAGUGAGACUGUCCCGCGGGGACCACCUCUUAGCCGAGAAGGAUCGGGACGUCUGGCCGGUCCAGAAGAGCCGGGGAUGCGGAGCUAGAGCGUCUGCAGAGCCUCAGAGCGGAGCGGGCCGGGCCGGUGGCCCAAGCGGCGGCAGCAGCUGGCAUAGCUCCUCACCCGCCCUUCGCUUUUCCCUUUCCUCUUCUCCCUCCCUUGCUUGCCCAGAGGGAGUCUCCACCCUGCUUCUCUUUCUCUCCCUCCUCCUGCCCAUCUCGGGACGGGGAACCCUCCAUUGCGAAGGCGGCCGGGGCCCGCUAGGCUGAAGCACCUCGCCGGAGCGACUAGGCUGGUGGCGACGGCUCUGUCGGCUGUCGUGAGGAGCUGCCGGGUGGGAUGCGACUUUGGGAGUCCGAGCGGCUGUGGGUCGCUGUUGGCCCGGGGUCUGGAGAGCGGAGAUCCCCUCAGUGAGGGGGAGGAGGGGGAACCGGGCGCACCUGGUGACCCUAAGGUUCCGGCUCCUCCGCCCGGCGGCUGCGAACCCACCGCAGAGGAAGUUGGUUGAAAUUGCUUUCCGCUGCAGGUACAAGGGUAUUGUCAUAGUAGCAGCAACAUGUCGACUGGGGACAGUUUUGAGACUCGGUUUGAAAAAAUCGACAACCUGCUGCGGGAUCCCAAGUCGGAAGUGAAUUCGGAUUGUUUGCUGGAUGGACUGGAUGCCUUGGUAUAUGAUUUGGAUUUUCCGGCCUUAAGAAAAAACAAAAAUAUUGACAACUUUUUAAGCAGAUGAUUAGAUGAGUCUAUCAGUUUUGGGGAAGAAUACUGCAGAGGUGAAGUGCCUUUCUCAUUGCAUCAUAUCUGGGAUACAUGACUUACACUGGUGAUAUUAACCUUUGUCACUUGGUUUAAGCUUUGGCCAUUGGGAACAAUGGAGCAUUUCUCUACUUUCUGGCACUACAAGAUGCUCCACGCUCAUCUUGUAUGUUCCCUGCCCAGCGCUAGAAUCAGCCAUUUCUCCAAGGAGUUCAGCUUCCUUUUGUUGGGGAAGGAUAUUUAGAAACCAAGAUCUGGGCACUGGAUGUGCUCUUCACUACUGAAGUAUCACAGCUUCUAGGCCUCUCAGCCAAAAGAACUAGGAAAUAUAUGUAUGUACACUAACCUGUGUUUAAAUACAAAUCUGUAAUUAUUGCUGUAUCUACAUAUAUUAAAAAUAAACAUGAGUUCAUAUUGAUAUCAUCUGUUCUAAUCUAGCACCACAGGGUUCAUUCUAGCCUUCCGCCUUGCUUAUUUGUGAUUUCUUUCUCUGACAAUCAGGAAACCUUAUCCCAUUAUCUACAGUUUAUUAUUCAACACCACUAUACAUAUGAAUUAACCCAUAUCCUUGUGUGAAACAAACUAAUCAACUAGAGUACAGUGUCUUUAUACAUUUCUUUUUUGUCUUCAGCCUUAUGAUAUCCAGCCAGAAUACUCUUUUCUAUACUUAGGUCAGUUCCUUUUUUUCUCACCAUCUUCAGUGAGAUUAUGUUAUGUUUGUAAUGCAAUUAGAUUACUUUGUCAUAGUCUGAAUUCCAUCCUUGGAUCCCCUAACAUCCUGAUUUUUUCAUUUGCAUACAUUAUAUAUAGGUCUAUGGAUUUUGACAAAGGCAUAGUCUUAUAUCCACCCCAAUAUUAUAUAGAAUAGUUCCAUCACCCUCAAUUUUUUUUCUCUGUGUCUUCUUUGUACUCACAACCACUCUUCCCUACCCAUGCUCCUGGCAAACACUGAUCUGUUUUCUGUCUCUGUAGGAUUACCUUGUCCAGAAUAUCAUAAAAUGGAAUCAUACAAUAUGUAGGCUUUUGAGUUUGGUUUAUUUCACUUAACAAAGUGUAUUUAAGAUUCAUCCAUGUUGUUGUGUGAAUCAAUAGUCUGUUCCUUUUUUAUUUCUAGGUAGUGUUCUAUUGAAUGGAUGUACUAGAUGUACCUCCAUGUAUUCAUAUGUUAAAGGACAUCUUAGUUAUUUCGAGUUUUUGGUGACUAUGAAUGAUGUUGCUGUAAACAUUUUUGCACAAGUUUUUUUUUUUAAUAAAAAUAAAUUUUCAGUUCACUUGGGUAAAUGCCUAAAAGUGGGAUUGCUGUGUUGUUAGAUAAGUGUAUGUUUAACGUUUUAAGAAAUUACCAAACAGUCUUGGAGAGUGGCUGUACCACUUUGUAUUCCCACUAGCAGUGAGAGUUCCUGGUGUUCCACGUUCUCACCAGCAUUUGGUGUUGUGUUUUGUAUUUUAGCCACUCUAAUAGGUGUGUAGUGGUAUCUCACUGUGGUUUUAAUUUGCAUUUCUGGAUGACAAGUGAUUUUGAGCAUCUUUUAUGCUUACGCUUAUUUACCAGGUGCGUAUCUUCUUUAUUAAAGUGUCUAUUCAUAUCCCUUGCCCAUUUUUUAAAUUGGUUUGCUUGUUUGUUUAUUGUUGAGUUUUAAAAGUUCUUUAUAUUUGACUACAAAUCCUUUAUCACAUAUUUGAGUUGCAAAUAUUUCUCCCCAUCUGUGGCUUGUCUUUUCAUUCUCUGAUAGUGUUUUUCACAGAGCACAAGUUUUUAAUUUUAAUAAAAUCUUAUUUAUCAACUAUUUGUUAUGGGUUGUACUUCUAGUAUCAUUUCUAAAAAUCAGCCAAACCCAAGAUUGAUUUUUUAAACAGAUUUAUUGAAGUAUAAUUUAUAUAUUAAAGAAGUUACUCAUUUAAAGUGUACAAUUAGUAUAUUUACAGAGUUGUGCAACCAUCACCGCAGUCACUUUUGGAACAUUUUCAUCAACUUACAAAAAAACUCCAUACCCAUUACCAGUUACUCCAGUUUCGACUAAUCCCUUUUUGUCUGUAUAAAUCUGCCUAUUGUAGACAUUUUACAUAAAUGGAAUCAUACAAUUGUGGUCUUUGUGACUGGCUUCUUUCACUUAACAUGUUUUCAGUGUUCAUCUAUAUUGUAGCAUGUAGCAUGUUCAUCUAUAUUGUAGCAGUGGGAAAAAAUAGAACAACAUAAAGAAGAUUGGAAGUUCUGAGAGCAUUGCCGAUUUAGACCGAGUGGAUAGGGAAGGGCUCGUUGAAAGGUGAUAUUGAGAGAAAUUUUGGGAGUAGCAAGAGCAGAUCUAAGUUCCCGAGCCUCGCAGAUGAGUACCAAGAAAAGCAACUAGCAAUCUAUAAUCUCAACUCAGUAAGAACUCUGAAAAGUAGGUGGAAGAUUGUAGAAACUAACUGCACACUGAAACAAGAAAAAAGUGAACUUUAGUGGGAGAACCUUUUCUGCUGUCCUUACCCCUACCCCUCCUGGUUUGGCAGCCAAGUGGCUGCAUUGGAGGGCAGACCAUGGCUCGUGCUCUCAAUGACAGGGUACCAGUCUCUGGCUCUGGAGUGAACACAACAGACUCUGCUGGCAGACUCCUCAGUGUGUUUGUUCUGAUCUAUUUGGGAGCUAUCUGAAGGACUAAAGCCUUGUUCUGGUCUGAAUCAGACUUCACACAGGGUGGAAGAGGGAGUGGUGAGCAACGAGAGAAGACUGUGGCUGCCUGAGAGUUUCUUGCAGAAAUUAGUGCUUUCAAAAGUAUGUCGUAUACAGGGGAAUUGAGAAAGCCACACACAUGUACUCGCUGCUAACACAUUGCGGUGUUCUUCAACCAGAAUAUCUCAAGAUGUACAAAGAAGCUUGAAGUGAUGGCCCAUUCAAAAGAAAAGACAAAGGGAGAGAAGUCUCUAUGGAAGCCUUGAUAAUGGACAGAUUAGAUGACUAUAAUACAACAAUAUUAAACAUGCUCAAAUAAUUAAUG
RNA transcript from Trichechus manatus latirostris (Florida manatee), 3989 nucleotides. It is a transcript of the gene named Rho associated coiled-coil containing protein kinase 1, with no coding region annotated. The transcript is spliced from 4 exons. The record is from RefSeq and is a predicted model, not a curated record. Lineage: Eukaryota; Metazoa; Chordata; Mammalia; Sirenia; Trichechidae.